This 552-nucleotide small RNA is filed under the name Pongo abelii (Sumatran orangutan). RNAcentral describes it as "processed transcript". The record is from RNAcentral. Lineage: Eukaryota; Metazoa; Chordata; Mammalia; Primates; Hominidae.
ACGGGCAAGGGCCGCCAUUUUGACUGAGCAACCCUAGUGACAGGAGCCGAAGCAGCAGCGCAGGAUCUGCCCCAGAGAAAGUCCUCGCUCGUCACCAGCAAGCUUGCGGGGUAACCUGAGCCCCCCUCUCCUCCCCUUCCUCAACCACUGGACUUUUAUAUAUUAUAGGCAGGGAUGAAAUGGGCACCUAGUCAGAUCUUCUCAGCUUGCUAGCCAGAAAUGACUGUGAUUCUGCUGGGGGCUGCUGAGAAGGUAAUGUAGGUUGAAAAGGGGCUCUAAGUUUAUUUAUUUCGUUAGAUUGACACUUCCACACACUCCCUGUAGUCCAGGUAGGGCCCAGAAAUAGGAAAGGCUAGGAUUGGAUAAUGCUGCAAAUGCUUUUUUUGUGUGAGAAACUGGAGAGGUGUGAUUUCUCCUUUUGGGAGAGAAUGUCCCAAAAUUGAUUAGGCUGAGCCUUGGGAAUAAUUUGGCAGGUUUAACAUCCCGAGGCUAACCUAACAUAGUUGGCAAAGGUAGAUUGAAUGAGACAUGUUUUCUGUGCUUCUAAGUGUU